UAUUGGCAACUUACGUUAACU
Molecule: non-coding RNA, 21 nt
Organism: Caenorhabditis elegans
Lineage: Eukaryota; Metazoa; Nematoda; Chromadorea; Rhabditida; Rhabditidae
Source: Ensembl